AACCCGUGUUGUGGACACUUCGGCAAGAAGUGCUUGAAUCGCUCCCAAGUCUCAAAUAAGGAUUCAAGCUCCAUCUGAACAAAUGAAGAUAUCUCACUGCAUGCAU
Dioscorea cayenensis subsp. rotundata (Guinea yam) is the source of this 106-nucleotide small nucleolar RNA. Lineage: Eukaryota; Viridiplantae; Streptophyta; Magnoliopsida; Dioscoreales; Dioscoreaceae. The record is from RefSeq and is a predicted model, not a curated record.